This 496-nucleotide ribosomal RNA is filed under the name uncultured bacterium. RNAcentral describes it as "partial 16S ribosomal RNA". It matches the Rfam family "Bacterial small subunit ribosomal RNA", at positions 28 to 506 of the family's 1533-position model. The record is from RNAcentral.
GAUGAACGCUGGCGGCGUGCCUAAUACAUGCGAGUCGAGCGAACGGACGAGAAGCUUGCUUCUCUGAUGUUAGCGGCGGACGGGUGAGUAACACGUGGAUAACCUACCUAUAAGACUGGGAUAACUUUGGGAAACCGGAGCUAAUACCGGAUAAUAUUUUGAACCGCAUGGUUCAAAAGUGAAAGACGGUCUUGCUGUCACUUAUAGAUGGAUCCGCGCUGCAUUAGCUAGUUGGUAAGGUAACGGCUUACCAAGGCAACGAUGCAUAGCCGACCUGAGAGGGUGAUCGGCCACACAGGAACUGAGACACGGUCCAGACUCCUACGGGAGGCAGCAGUAGGGAAUCUUCCGCAAUGGGCGAAAGCCUGACGGAGCAACGCCGCGUGAGUGAUGAAGGUCUUCGGAUCGUAAAACUCUGUUAUUAGGGAAGAACAUAUGUGUAAGUAACUGUGCACAUCUUGACGGUACCUAAUCAGAAAGCCACGGCUAACUACGU